GGAGGAAGGUGGGGAUGACGUCAAGUCAGCAUGGCCCUUACAUCCUGGGCUACACACACGCUACAAUGGGUGAUACAAUGGGUAGCAAUAGAGCGAUCUGGAGCCAAUCCUAAAAAUCACCCUCAGUUCGGAUUGCAGGCUGCAACUGCCUGCAUGAAGUUGGAGUUGCUAGUAAACGCAGGUCAGCACACUGCGUUGAAUACGUUCUCGGGCCUUGUACACACCGCCCGUCACGUCAUGGGAGUCGGUAACACCUGAAGUCGAUAGGCUAACCCGCAAGGGAGGCAGUCGCCGAAGGUGGGACCGGUGACUGGGACGAAGUCGUAACAAGGUAGCCGUACGGGAACGUGCGGCUGGAUCACCUCCUUUCUAGGGAG
Molecule: ribosomal RNA, 377 nt
Filed under: Chloroflexota bacterium
Lineage: Bacteria; Bacillati; Chloroflexota
Description: bacterial SSU rRNA
Rfam family: Bacterial small subunit ribosomal RNA
Source: RNAcentral